GUGCGCAGUCGUGAGUGCGGACUGCGGGGCCACGUUUCCCAAGACCGAGGAAAACUUAGUGCCGGGAGGGAAUUUGGGAUGGUUUGAAUCGAACUUGUUGAAAUCCCUGUGGACCGCCUAGGAAGUAGAAUCUGACGACUACGGCUUUUUCUGUAAUUUAAAAAAUUUUAUUAAAAAUUAAAGGUUCACUCCCUUUGCCCCAGUAACUUCUAGGAGUUUAUCUGCAGAAGGUAAUCGGAGAGCCAGAUAAAAGACGUCUGUACAUCUUAGAGUUUAUUUAACAUCAGAAAAAAUGGAAACAGUUUGGGAAUGGUUAAAUAAGGUAUGGUACACGCCCAAGGGGAGCAUCGUGCAGCUCCUUUUUUUUUUUUUUUUUUUUUUUUUUUUUUUUUGAAACGGAGUCUCGCUCUGUCUCCUAGGCUGGAGUGCAUUGACACGAUCUUGGCUCACUGCAACCUCCACCUCCCGGGUUCAAGCGAUCCUCCUGCCUCAGCCUCCUGAAUAGGACUACAGGCGCACGCCACCACCCCAGACUAAUUUUUGUAUUUUUAGUAAAGACGGAGUUUCACCAUGUUGGCCAGGCUGGUCUCAAACUCCUGACCUUGUGAUCCACCCGACUUGGCCUCCCAAAGUGCUGGGAUUACAGGCGUGAGCCACCAAGCCCGGCCUAGUGCAGCUUCUUAAAAUAGUGUUUUAUUAUGUAAUGUUAGGUUUUAAAAGUGGACUGCAAGCAGCACC
This 738-nucleotide long non-coding RNA is filed under the name Homo sapiens (human). RNAcentral describes it as "non-protein coding lnc-KIF7-4:1". Lineage: Eukaryota; Metazoa; Chordata; Mammalia; Primates; Hominidae. The record is from RNAcentral.